UAACGCAUCGAUAAUAUAAUAGCAUUUUUAUUUUUAAAGAUAAUUUGAAAUUCUUUAUAUUGCUUUGAAAUAGCUAUUAGGAAGCUUCUUUCUUUACGAACUAGUGUUGUAUGAAUAAAAAAUAGAAUUUUCUUCUUAGCCCUCAUCAUAAAAGUCCUUUUAAAAAAUAAGGACUUUCUUAUUGAUGACUUCUUGAUAGGUUUUGUCCAAAAGAAUUUUAUAAGAAAUUCAACAUCAUAAAACCUCCAAUCUUUAGAUAGAUUAUAUCUUUCCAUCAACAAAAGUCCUAAAAUGAUAGAAUUACAUAAAAUUUUAAUAAUAUUGAAUACUAUUUUGCUAUUGUAGCCAUUGAAUGAUAUUUUUAGUAAUAUGGUCUCAUAAGCAAUAUUGCUUG
RNAcentral lists this long non-coding RNA (394 nucleotides) under Physcomitrium patens. RNAcentral's name for it is "long non-coding RNA (PPAT_LNC006076)". Lineage: Eukaryota; Viridiplantae; Streptophyta; Bryopsida; Funariales; Funariaceae. The record is from RNAcentral.